AAUAAAAUGCUAUAUUUUACGGACUGAAGAAUGAUAAAAAAUAUUUUACUGGCUAGCUUAUAGCUUAAACUUAUCCCCCUUUGAUACCCGGCCUGUUUAACAACAUGUUAAUUUCUUAGAUGAUACCUGCUUCUUUUAUUUUAUUUAAAAAUAAAUUUAGCUGGAAAUGUGAAUCAGCUAGGAUUAAUUCGAACUUGGGUCUCAGGUAUCAACCGCCAAACUCUUUGCCACUUGCUCUAGGGACGGUCGGUCUAGACACC
Molecule: long non-coding RNA, 260 nt
Filed under: Ananas comosus (pineapple)
Lineage: Eukaryota; Viridiplantae; Streptophyta; Magnoliopsida; Poales; Bromeliaceae
Description: long non-coding RNA (ACOM_LNC040576)
Source: RNAcentral